RNAcentral lists this ribosomal RNA (253 nucleotides) under uncultured bacterium. RNAcentral's name for it is "partial 16S ribosomal RNA". It matches the Rfam family "Bacterial small subunit ribosomal RNA", at positions 524 to 776 of the family's 1533-position model. The record is from RNAcentral.
UACGUAGGGUGCAAGCGUUGUCCGGAAUUAUUGGGCGUAAAGAGCUCGUAGGCGGUCUGUUGCGUCGGCUGUGAAAACCCGAGGCUCAACCUCGGGCCUGCAGCCGAUACGGGCAGACUAGAGUUCGGCAGGGGAGACUGGAAUUCCUGGUGUAGCGGUGAAAUGCGCAGAUAUCAGGAGGAACACCGGUGGCGAAGGCGGGCAUCUGGGCCGAUACUGACGCUGAGGAGCGAAAGCGUGGGGAGCGAACAGG